RNAcentral lists this ribosomal RNA (223 nucleotides) under uncultured bacterium. RNAcentral's name for it is "partial 16S ribosomal RNA". It matches the Rfam family "Bacterial small subunit ribosomal RNA", at positions 111 to 334 of the family's 1533-position model. The record is from RNAcentral.
UAACGCGUGAGGAACCUGCCUCAUACAGGGGGAUAACAGUUAGAAAUGACUGCUAAUACCGCAUAAGCGCACAGUGCUGCAUGGCACAGUGUGAAAAACUCCGGUGGUAUGAGAUGGACCCGCGUCUGAUUAGCUAGUUGGUGGGGUAACGGCCUACCAAGGCGACGAUCAGUAGCCGGCCUGAGAGGGUGAACGGCCACAUUGGGACUGAGACACGGCCCAA